CUAUACAUGCAGUCGAGCGACAGAUAAGGAGCUUGCUCCUUUGACGUUAGCGGCGGACGGGUGAGUAACACGUGGGUAACCUACCUAUAAGACUGGGAUAACUUCGGGAAACCGGAGCUAAUACCGGAUAACAUUUGGAACCGCAUGGUUCUAAAGUGAAAGAUGGUUUUGCUAUCACUUAUAGAUGGACCCGCGCCGUAUUAGCUAGUUGGUAAGGUAACGGCUUACCAAGGCGACGAUACGUAGCCGACCUGAGAGGGUGAUCGGCCACACUGGAACUGAGACACGGUCCAGACUCCUACGGGAGGCAGCAGUAGGGAAUCUUCCGCAAUGGGCGAAAGCCUGACGGAGCAACGCCGCGUGAGUGAUGAAGGGUUUCGGCUCGUAAAACUCUGUUAUUAGGGAAGAACAAAUGUGUAAGUAACUGUGCACGUCUUGACGGUACCUAAUCAGAAAGCCACGGCUAACUACGUGCCAGCAGCCGCGGUAAUACGUAGGUGGCAAGCGUUAUCCGGAAUUAUUGGGCGUAAAGCGCGCGUAGGCGGUUUCUUAAGUCUGAUGUGAAAGCCCACGGCUCAACCGUGGAGGGUCAUUGGAAACUGGGAAACUUGAGUGCAGAAGAGGAAAGUGGAAUUCCAUGUGUAGCGGUGAAAUGCGCAGAGAUAUGGAGGAACACCAGUGGCGAAGGCGACUUUCUGGUCUGUAACUGACGCUGAUGUGCGAAAGCGUGGGGAUCAAACAGGAUUAGAUACCCUGGUAGUCCACGCCGUAAACGAUGAGUGCUAAGUGUUAGGGGGGUUUCCGCCCCUUAGUGCUGCAGCUAACGCAUUAAGCACUCCGCCU
This 843-nucleotide ribosomal RNA is filed under the name Staphylococcus sp. RNAcentral describes it as "bacterial SSU rRNA". It matches the Rfam family "Bacterial small subunit ribosomal RNA", at positions 49 to 874 of the family's 1533-position model. The record is from RNAcentral. Lineage: Bacteria; Bacillati; Bacillota; Bacilli; Caryophanales; Staphylococcaceae.